UCCAGUUGAUCCUGCUGGCGGCUGCGGCUCUCUGAUUUGCACUUAGACAUGCAAGUUUUUUUGUUUCUUCGGAAAUAGAUAAGCGAACUGCUCAGUAACACGUAGCUAACCUACCCUUAAGUCAAGAAUACCCUCUGGGAAACUGAGGCUAAUGCUUGAUAGGAGAUCCACCCUGGAAUGAUGUAUCUCUCAAACUCGCGCUUAAGGAUGGGGCUGCGGCGGAUUAGGUUGUUGGCGGGGUAAUAGCCCACCAAGCCUAUGAUCCGUAAGGGCUCUUAGCGGAGAAGCCCUGAGAGGAAAUCUGAGACACUAUUUCCAGCCCCACGGGGUGCAGCAGUUAGGAAUAUUUUGCAAUGCGCGUAAGCGUGACAAAUUGAGCCAGAGUGAUUUUCAAAUUUGAAAAUCUUUUAUGAAAUGUAAAAAGUUUCACGAAUAAGGACUGGGUAAGACUAGUGCCA
Molecule: ribosomal RNA, 458 nt
Filed under: archaeon
Lineage: Archaea
Description: bacterial SSU rRNA
Rfam family: Archaeal small subunit ribosomal RNA
Source: RNAcentral